AUAUCACGAUGAAACACCGUUUUCCGUACGAUCACAGAAAGUUAAGCAACGUCGAGCCUGGUCAGUAUCUAGAUGGGGGAACGCUUGUGAAUACUAGACGCUGUA
Acanthosepion pharaonis is the source of this 105-nucleotide non-coding RNA. The record is from the annotation of a GenBank genome assembly. NCBI's taxonomy places the organism in Eukaryota, Metazoa, Mollusca, Cephalopoda, Sepiida, Sepiidae.